GCAGAGGUCGCCUAGUUAGGUAGGGCGGGUGUUUCAUAAAUGCUGUUCCGCCAAGGAAUCGUGGGUUCAAAUCCCACCCUCUGCG
This 85-nucleotide transfer RNA is filed under the name Nitrosopumilus sp. H13. RNAcentral describes it as "tRNA-Met". It matches the Rfam family "tRNA". Rfam says of the family: Transfer RNA (tRNA) molecules are approximately 80 nucleotides in length. Their secondary structure includes four short double-helical elements and three loops (D, anti-codon, and T loops). Lineage: Archaea; Thermoproteati; Nitrososphaerota; Nitrososphaeria; Nitrosopumilales; Nitrosopumilaceae. The record is from RNAcentral.